This 626-nucleotide ribosomal RNA is filed under the name Pseudoselenomonas ruminantium. Its description in RNAcentral is "bacterial SSU rRNA". It matches the Rfam family "Bacterial small subunit ribosomal RNA", at positions 94 to 697 of the family's 1533-position model. The record is from RNAcentral. Lineage: Bacteria; Bacillati; Bacillota; Negativicutes; Selenomonadales; Selenomonadaceae.
AGUGGCAAACGGGUGAGUAACGCGUAGACAACCUGCCGCAAAGAUGGGGACAACAGUCCGAAAGGACUGCUAAUACCGAAUGUUGUCANAUUUCCGCAUGGGAGCCUGAUUAAAGAUGGCCUCUACUUGUAAGCUAUCGCUUUGCGAUGGGUCUGCGUCUGAUUAGCUAGUUGGUGGGGUAACGGCCUACCAAGGCGACGAUCAGUAGCCGGUCUGAGAGGAUGAACGGCCACAUUGGAACUGAGACACGGUCCAGACUCCUACGGGAGGCAGCAGUGGGGAAUCUUCCGCAAUGGGCGAAAGCCUGACGGAGCAACGCCGCGUGAGUGAAGAAGGGUUUCGGCUCGUAAAGCUCUGUUGACGGGGACGAAUGUGCGAAAUGCGAAUAGUUUUUCGCAAUGACGGUACCCGUCGAGGAAGCCACGGCUAACUACGUGCCAGCAGCCGCGGUAAUACGUAGGUGGCGAGCGUUGUCCGGAAUUAUUGGGCGUAAAGGGAGCGCAGGCGGGAAGGCAAGUCAGUCUUAAAAGUGCGGGGCUCAACCCCGUGAUGGGAUUGAAACUGUCUUUCUUGAGUGCAGGAGAGGAAAGCGGAAUUCCUAGUGUAGCGGUGAAAUGCGUAGAUAU